CGGCGAACGGGUGCGUAAUGCAUGGGAAUCUGCCUAGUAGUGGGGAAUAACCCGGCGAAAGCCGGGCUAAUGCCGCAUACGACCUACGGGUGAAAGCGGGGGAUCGCAAGACCUCGCGCUAUUAGGUGAGCCCAUGUCGGAUUAGCUAGUUGGUAGGGUAACGGCCUACCAAGGCGACGAUCCGUAGCUGGUCUGAGAGGACGGCCAGCCACACUGGGACUGAGACACGGCCCAG
RNAcentral lists this ribosomal RNA (235 nucleotides) under uncultured bacterium. RNAcentral's name for it is "partial 16S ribosomal RNA". It matches the Rfam family "Bacterial small subunit ribosomal RNA", at positions 96 to 334 of the family's 1533-position model. The record is from RNAcentral.